This 76-nucleotide microRNA precursor is filed under the name Eptesicus fuscus (big brown bat). Its description in RNAcentral is "microRNA efu-mir-9258 precursor". Lineage: Eukaryota; Metazoa; Chordata; Mammalia; Chiroptera; Vespertilionidae. The record is from miRBase by way of RNAcentral.
CACAGAAGUCUGUGUGCAGCCACUCACCUUGUGCUCUAGCAGAGGGAGGGCAGAGUAGACUAAAGAUGUGUGUGCA